Molecule: ribosomal RNA, 540 nt
Filed under: Triticum aestivum (bread wheat)
Lineage: Eukaryota; Viridiplantae; Streptophyta; Magnoliopsida; Poales; Poaceae
Description: partial small subunit ribosomal RNA
Source: RNAcentral
AUGUGGCAGGCCCGAGCAACUUUGCCAUUACAGGGCCAUCAUGUGGUACUAGUGGAUGGAACCAGAGCAGUUCUACCACGAAAGUUUAUAAGAGAAGGCAAUUUGAUAGUAAUUGGAGCUCAGAUGCAACACAACAAGAUGGUAACCCAAGUUGGAAGAAAGCAAAUGUGGCAGGCCAGGGCAACUUUGCCAUUACAGGGCCAUCUAGCUCUGGUGGAUGGAGUAGAAAGACCAAUAAUCUUGGUAGAGGUCGAGGUGGUGGUAGAGGUGCAGGAUGGCAUCAAGCUUUCUGGAGAUGAUGAGAGGUUCAUUGUUGAAAAUAUUCUCAUGUACCACCCAGAGAAGGAAAAGAAGAUGGCAGGGAAUAACAAUUACAUAACGGUUGCUAAGCAUCAAAAGUUCCAUAGCUCCAGGUGCUUGUACGUCGUGUCCUCAGACGGCCCUCCUACAGAUUUCUCCUACAAGAAGUGCCUAGAGAACAUGAUCAGGAUUCACUACCCACGUGAUGCAAGUUCAUUCUGCAGAAAGUACUUCCAGUGA